RNAcentral lists this small nuclear RNA (23 nucleotides) under Arabidopsis thaliana (thale cress). RNAcentral describes it as "snRNA_18149". Lineage: Eukaryota; Viridiplantae; Streptophyta; Magnoliopsida; Brassicales; Brassicaceae. The record is from RNAcentral.
UGAAGAUAAUUAUGAGUAUAAGC